AUAUCGAUUACAUUUCUGUGUUGUUAAAGAACCAUAUGUUUUUUCGAUAAUCGAUUGCAACACGGCGCUCAUUUAGUGUCAAAAAGUUCCUGGGGUAACAAGUAGAAAGUGUAUUAAGUGAAAUAAUUGAAGAAUAAUGUGAAAAUGGGCACGGUGUGCAGGUUAAAAAUCGACUUCUGGGAAAUAUACCCAGAGAAAGAGCAUGCAUUGGUUUUGAAAUAGGACGACCUGAAGCCUUUACGAUAGGAAGAUUAAAAACGAUCUCAGCAGGCAACAGCUUACCGAAGCACAGUCGGCAAUAAAUGAAGGUAAUAUAUACAAAAUAUCUAUUUACUUAUUGUUAUAUUUGUCUUUCUUCGUUUUUGAUAAAUGCCCAGGACUCUAUUUGUUAUUUUGCUUGACACCGCGUUUCGUUAAAUAUGUUUAGCUGUAAGAACUUUAA
Long non-coding RNA from Drosophila yakuba, 442 nucleotides. RefSeq lists it as uncharacterized. The transcript has 2 exons. The record is from RefSeq and is a predicted model, not a curated record. NCBI's taxonomy places the organism in Eukaryota, Metazoa, Arthropoda, Insecta, Diptera, Drosophilidae.